UUGUGCUAAGCGGGGAGUUAGCGGUGCCCUGAAUCUGCAAUCCGCUAUAGCAGAGCUGAAAUCCCGAUUGAGGCGGGAGGCGUUUAUUUUUGAAAUAGUAGUUAUGUGUUGAAAACUAAAGUCCUAUGCAACAAGAUACUGUGAACCCCGUCAGAUCCGAGAGGAAGCAGCGGUAAACAGAACCAUUUUGGGUGCUGUAGGGGUGCUUGGUUUGAGCAUUAUUAUUAUGGAGAAAAUUAACAGUCCCCGACGAUAAAGGGUGCACAG
This 267-nucleotide signal recognition particle RNA is filed under the name Candidatus Auribacterota bacterium. RNAcentral's name for it is "signal recognition particle sRNA large type". It matches the Rfam family "Bacterial large signal recognition particle RNA". Rfam says of the family: The signal recognition particle (SRP) is a universally conserved ribonucleoprotein involved in the co-translational targeting of proteins to membranes. Archaeal SRP consists of a 7S RNA and homologues of the eukaryotic SRP19 and SRP54 proteins. The record is from RNAcentral. Lineage: Bacteria; Pseudomonadati; Candidatus Auribacterota.